Molecule: ribosomal RNA, 465 nt
Filed under: uncultured Burkholderiales bacterium
Lineage: Bacteria; Pseudomonadati; Pseudomonadota; Betaproteobacteria; Burkholderiales
Description: partial 16S ribosomal RNA
Source: RNAcentral
GACUACUGGGGUAUCUAAUCCUGUUUGCUCCCCACGCUUUCGUGCAUGAGCGUCAGUACAGGCCCAGGAGAUUGCCUUCGCCAUCGGUGUUCCUCCGCAUAUCUACGCAUUUCACUGCUACACGCGGAAUUCCAUCUCCCUCUGCCGUACUCUAGUCAUGCAGUCACAAAUGCAGUUCCCAGGUUGAGCCCGGGGAUUUCACAUCUGUCUUGCAUAACCGCCUGCGCACGCUUUACGCCCAGUAAUUCCGAUUAACGCUCGCACCCUACGUAUUACCGCGGCUGCUGGCACGUAGUUAGCCGGUGCUUAUUCUUCAGGUACCGUCAUCCCUCCGAGGUAUUAACCCAAAGGAUUUCUUCCCUGACAAAAGCAGUUUACAACCCGAAGGCCUUCUUCCUGCACGCGGCAUGGCUGGAUCAGGCUUGCGCCCAUUGUCCAAAAUUCCCCACUGCAGCCACCCGUAGG